GUAAUUUCAGAUUUUGAUAUCAACCUCACAUUGCCAGUGUAAGAACAAAUAUGGAGAGAAAAUGAAAAGGGAAGACCUUACUAUUGAAUAGAAGGAAGUGAGGUCACGACUUUGAUCAGAUUUAUGUGUUUUUCCCUGACAAACCAAAAGUUGGGGUCAAGACAAUCAAGAAUUACAUCAAACGCGUGGUUCAGGAGGAUAUGGACACAGGCAUCAUGGUUAUUCAACAAAAUCUGACUCCUUUUGCAAAACUCGUCAUAAGUGAGAUGAGAUCAAAGUGGAGGCAGAAUUGUUGAUUCAAAAGCAUGUUCUAGUUCCAGAGUAUCGGGAGGUUAAAAAUGAAGUAAAGAAGACUUUGCUGGAGAGGUGAACUGUGGAAGAAACACAGAAUAUCUUUGCUAGGAAAGUUUCAACAAGCUUGAGUGUUGCACUACAAAUGUCACGAAGUUUGAGGCUUGCCUAGAUUAGUACAACACAAAGUCAUAACUGCCUUUGUGCCUAAAACUCCAACAAAAAUGAGUAGUGUUUUGUGAUAUCCUGAUGGCAAUUUCUGGUCCAAUAUAAAAGAUCUGGUUUUAAGGAAAUUGAGUGUAGCCCUUACAUUUGAAGUCUCAAAUAGGAUAAUCUAAUGGGAUCAUGGAAGAAGUCGCAGUAUGUGUACAUAUCAUACAAGUUAUACUCAUUCUUUAAUGUACAAAUGGAAUUACAAGAUUUUAUCAGAUGCUUAUAUAUUUUCGAUUUCAGUGUAUUCAUUUCUUACGUGAUAAAAAAUAUAUUU
Molecule: long non-coding RNA, 778 nt
Filed under: Rosa chinensis
Lineage: Eukaryota; Viridiplantae; Streptophyta; Magnoliopsida; Rosales; Rosaceae
Description: sRNA RchiOBHm_Chr1g0345811
Source: RNAcentral